Molecule: long non-coding RNA, 517 nt
Filed under: Bos taurus (domestic cattle)
Lineage: Eukaryota; Metazoa; Chordata; Mammalia; Artiodactyla; Bovidae
Description: long non-coding RNA NONBTAT025207
Source: RNAcentral
GGGAGUUAUACCAUUACCAUACUUUGGAAAGAAUGCUCUCUAAUGCUAUUGAUUUUGAUCUUUUGAACUCAAGCUCUGAUGCCUGUGUCCAUUGACAACUACCCUGCCUAGUUCUUACAGGAUUCUGAAGUGCUGGAUUAGCAAAUAAGCCCCUGUUUCAAAUUAAUCAGCUUGCCUAUCUGAGACAAAUGUUUUUAUCUUAAUACUCUUAGAAAUGCCACAUUUCAAGCUUUUUUUCCAUAGUUAUACAGUUCAGAACUGCCAACCAUGAGUUCUGCAGAAGUAAAUGGAAGGCUCACCUCAGGAAGCAGAAGCUAUUGUGACAUGGUCAAAUCUGUAUUGCAGGAAGUGCAGUAUAUCUGAACAAUAGCUAUUUGAUUAGGAAAUGUGGGUAGAAAGGAAAGACAGAAAGAAGAGGUACCCUUUGGAAGGCCACUGAGGAUAUCUAGGCUGUAGAUAAUCAUAGUGGAGGUAGAGAAAAUGAAGGAAUUCCCGUGGUGCUUACAUUGUAGAAUUG